GGUCCUGAGUUCGAAAAGAUUGAUGAGAAAAGCCUGGGGCAGUGGGUAUUAAUUUAUUUUCAUGUUUAAAGGAAAUCUAGACACCAUUUUGUUGAACUGUAAAUCAUCACUACAAAAAACUCAUUGAGCAGCUCUUAAGUAUUAGAUAGUAGAACAGAAGGGCAGGAACUUCAGGGAGCUAUAGAAAAAAUACUUUAAUUCUCUGUUUUUAAACAGUAUGAAAUGUUUACCUAUGUGAUUUUAUUUUUUGGCUUUUUAAUUUAAAAGAAAGACCAAAAUAAACGCUUGCCAACUUUCCCAUAGAUGUCCUCAGACAAACGUUGGGAAACCAAGUGAAUGCUUGCUUGUUUCUGUAUAAAGCCGUCCAAAGUCCUGUGCAGUGAGACUUUCAGCCCGCUGUCGAAGGCAUAGAAAGGCUACUUUCUGCUGCUGCCAGUUUAUACCCACACGUAAAGAAACCUUGUACUGUUACUAUUUUCUAUUGUGGGCACACAGCAGAGUUUGUGGGUGCAAGGGAUGCAUGCCACAUCUCACCUUCAUGAGAUGGCCUGUCGGUAUGCAGAGCACAUGGCAGUAUCCACCAGCCCUUGUGACCUGUCACUCUGGCAUAUGAAUGCUGCUUUCUGUCCAUCGCAUCAGCCUGAAUCUGGGCACUCAGCAGGGUCUGGUCAGUUUGCCUUUCUUCAGGAUUCUAGAGGCAGCUGUUCUGAAGAAAUACCCCCAGCUCUGGUUGAGACUGCUAGACUUAAGCUGGUCCCAUAGGAGGCAAACUGCUGAGAAGCAUUUAGUGGCAUGGCUAGUAAUGAUGUAUAAAUUUUUUCUCUGAAAAUGGUUAUUUUCCAAUCCAGUCCCUUAAUAUGUGAUGUGGUUGUGCCUCAGAAAUCCCUUCCUUUCAUAAUGGUCUUGUACUACUGAAAUGUCUUGCAUUUCUGUGUCUUGCUUAAGUUCAGAACUUGGUCAAACCGAGUUUAGGAACUUAGAGCCACAUUGUCUUAUAUUGCAGUAAAUUUGUGAGUUGUGAGUGGAUAUUUCCAUAAGAAUGCACAUUCAUUCUGUUUCUCUUUUCAGGAGUCUUGUCAGCAGUGCCAGCUCCUUGGCAUUUUGUAUGACACUACAUCAUGAGUGACAGCAAAUGUGAUAGUUUUACAGUGUGCAAGUGGCAGACUCAACUUUCACUGUCCUGAAAUGGUACCAGCAGUUGAAACCAAUUGGCUCUGGAGCCCAAGGGAUUGUUUGGCACCGUCAUUGCAGUGCCUUGCCCUCCAUUGGCAGGAUGAGGCCAGUCGGUGUCACUGUCACACCAUGGGUUAGCCAGGAAGGGAUGCUGUGUCAGGGCUUGGGCUGGCCGCCUUCCUUGGUGUCUCUUCAACUAUGUUUCCAGCCCAGGACAUCAGAACUGUUAGUCUGACCCUGAAUCUGAGUCUCGCAUGGUCAGACAGUCGUCAGCUGCAGCGAUGUCACUGGCCAGUGAAAGGUAAAGUUCUUCACAUGUUUUCUAGACUACAGUUAUCAGCACUUCCCAAACUUUAUCCCUUAUUUUUCUGGACAAAUUUUUUUUCCUUUCUAUUUUUGGUCAAUAAAAUCAACAUUAUCCUUGCCUCUGAAAGAACCCGAUGAAGCUAAGCAUCUAAUGUUUACAGAUGUAGGCAGGGGGGACUGAAGAUAAAAGAACUCCUUUGUGUGUUCUGGUAGAUGAGUUUAUGGUUUCAUGUAAUAGAGAGGCUGAGCUUGGAGAGUGCCUGUCAGUGGUUCUAACUGUCCUGUGGUGCAGAGAUGCUCUCUUGGGCCUAAGUGGUUGAUGGCCCUGGGAGCUGAGAGGACUGAGCCUAGAGCUUCUGAGGGAAGCUAGCCUGGGGGAAGAGGCAGUUGGGAGGUGUACCUGCUCACGUCCAGAAUAGUGGCGGCCUUAGCUUCCAAAUGAUGGCAUACUGGUACUGGCUGGGAAUCCCUUUCCUGAAAUGCCUGGGCACAUCUGCCUGUUUCUGAUUUCUGUUUUGCUUUCAGAUUUUAGCAGAUCUGCAUAGACUUUAUUACCACUUGAGCAUCCCUCAUCCAAAAAUGUGAAUCUGAAAUGCUCCAAAAUAUAAAACCAUUGGACCACGAUAUCAGUACACAAAAGUUUCAGAUUUAGGAGCACUGCAGAUUUUGAAUUUUU
Molecule: long non-coding RNA, 2155 nt
Filed under: Heterocephalus glaber (naked mole-rat)
Lineage: Eukaryota; Metazoa; Chordata; Mammalia; Rodentia; Bathyergidae
Description: lncRNA (ENSHGLG00100042166.1)
Source: RNAcentral